CCUACGGGAGGCAGCAGUGGGGAAUAUUGCACAAUGGGGGAAACCCUGAUGCAGCGACGCCGCGUGAGUGAAGAAGUAAUUCGUUAUGUAAAGCUCUAUCAGCAGGGAAGAAAAUGACGGUACCUGUGUAAGAAGCCCCGGCUAACUACGUGCCAGCAGCCGCGGUAAUACGUAGGGGGCCAGCGUUAUCCGGAUUUACUGGGUGUAAAGGGAGCGUAGACGGCAGUGAAAGUCUGGAGUGAAAGGCGGGGGCUCAACCCCCGGACUGCUCUGGAAACUGUACGGCUGGAGUGCAGGAGAGGUAAGUGGAAUUCCUGGUGUAGCGGUGAAAUGCGUAGAUAUUAGGAGGAACACCAGUUGCGAAGGCGGCUUACUGGACUGUAACUGACGUUGAGGCUCGAAAGCGUGGGGAGCAAACAGGAUUAGAUACCCCGGUAGUC
Molecule: ribosomal RNA, 440 nt
Filed under: uncultured bacterium
Lineage: Bacteria
Description: partial 16S ribosomal RNA
Rfam family: Bacterial small subunit ribosomal RNA
Source: RNAcentral